UGCCCAGCAACUCCUAUCCCUACCUCCACGCGGUACCGGCCGGAAACUAUGAGCAACCUUAGGGAAGAUCGGGUAACCAACCCCGGUGGGAGCUUUGGUCGUAGGCUGACAGGGAAGG
This is a non-coding RNA of Aedes albopictus (Asian tiger mosquito), 118 nucleotides long. The record is from Rfam. NCBI's taxonomy places the organism in Eukaryota, Metazoa, Arthropoda, Insecta, Diptera, Culicidae.